CGUCGAUAGGAGGCAUGUGGACCGGCAGCAAUGCCUGAAGCUAAGCCUUACUAAUCGCUCGAUCGGCUUGAUC
This 73-nucleotide ribosomal RNA is filed under the name Azospirillum oryzae. RNAcentral's name for it is "partial 23S ribosomal RNA". The record is from RNAcentral. Lineage: Bacteria; Pseudomonadati; Pseudomonadota; Alphaproteobacteria; Rhodospirillales; Azospirillaceae.